UGGGAAUUUUGGACAAUGGGCGCAAGCCUGAUCCAGCCAUGCCGCGUGCGGGAAGAAGGCCUUCGGUUGUAACCGCUUUUGUCAGGGAAGAAAUCUUCUGAGUUAAUACCUCGGGAGGAUGACGGUACCUGAAGAAUAAGCACCGGCUAACUACGUGCCAGCAGCCGCGGUAAAUACGUAGGGUGCAAGCGUUAAUCGGAAUACUGGGCGUAAAGCGUGCGCAAGGCGGUUUUGUAAGACAGAGGUGAAAUCCCCGGGCUCAACCUGGGAACUGCCUUUGUGACUGCAAGGCUUGAGUGCGGCAGAGGGGGAUGGAAUUCCGCGUGUAGCAGUGAAAUGCGUAGAUAUGCGGAGGAACACCGAUGGCGAAGGCAAUCCCCUGGGCCUGCACUGACGCUCAUGCACGAAAGCGUGGGGAGC
Molecule: ribosomal RNA, 420 nt
Filed under: uncultured bacterium
Lineage: Bacteria
Description: partial 16S ribosomal RNA
Rfam family: Bacterial small subunit ribosomal RNA
Source: RNAcentral